RNA transcript from Bactrocera dorsalis (oriental fruit fly), 17958 nucleotides. RefSeq lists it as uncharacterized. NCBI's taxonomy places the organism in Eukaryota, Metazoa, Arthropoda, Insecta, Diptera, Tephritidae. The record is from RefSeq and is a predicted model, not a curated record. The transcript is spliced from 24 exons.
UAUUAAAGUCGGCGAAAGCUAACGACGACCAACAGCUCAAAUAGCCAGGCAAUGAAGAGUCGACGCGCAGUAGUCGUUGUCGUGUAGUGGUGUCGUCGUCGUCGUUGUGCGCUCGUUCAGCGUUUUGAGGAAUUAACUACCAAGGAACACACAGGAGCAACUGCUCACUACAUAUACGUACGGAUAUACAUAUGUACUUAAAUACUUAUACAUAUGUGUAUAAACACAUACACAAACACACAAAGAGGAGCUACACGAACACACAUACACAUAUAAAGUUGAUGAACUUUGUGGAAAAAGUGCAGAAAAGCGCUGAAAAAGUGAGAAAUUCUAACGGAAAAUUAUGAAAAAUGAUGGUGUAUGAAUUUAACUGAAAUAAGAAACCAAAAAUAUAUAAAUAAAUACUUCAUACAAAUAUUGCGUAAAUGAAAGAACAACUUAAAUUUAAUAAAUAAUUAAACAGACUUAUUGGCAUUGUAUUUAAUAAAUGUACAUACCUACUGCUCCCGCUACACAUUAGAUAAAUAAAUAUAUAUGUACAUAUUAUGUAUAUCAACUAGUUUUACAAUUUAAAGUCUUAACUAACAACGAAUGAAUACACAACGCCGUCUUAAGGAAUCUAAUAUAUUGUCAACAAUUCAACAGCAAGGUGCCAAUGAUAAACCAAAAACAAUUAAGUAACAAGGUGAAGAAGUUAAGUUGCACAGAAGCCAACAGAGAAGACGCACACGACGAAUCACAACAACCACACGCACAUACUAGUAAAGGGAUGUACAAUGCCGAGCUUACGCACAGACGAUUAAAUAAGAACCAAUGUAUACUCGUCUACUCGGUGCGCAGUGCGGAUGAUCUAACAGCGAUAUAAGCUUGAAUCCCCAACAACAAUACAACAGUAAAAACAAAAAAAAAAACAAAGUUAAAAGCGCUGUAAGGUACGAGGAGCAGCACAAUAACCGUUAUUGGUAACUAUUGUCAAAGAGUUAAGGUGCACGAAGCUAUAAUAACGGCAACAAGAUUCAAUUUGCGAAUACAAGCAAAAGUACACACAUACACAAACACACACACACACACACACACACACACAGUAACAGAAGAAUACUGCUGCUGCAGCGCCGGUGAACUGAAAGUGUUACGCAGAUAUUGCAGCAAAAACAUUGGAAAUUGCUAGAGGAAUAACAACAACAAAAACAGCAACAGCAAAACAAAAACAACAGCAACAUCAACAUAACAAACAACAUAAUAACAACAACAAAAGCGUAAUACAGCAACUACAGGUGACAUCAACUGGUGUUCAACGUACCGCACAGAAUUUCGGACAGAGUGAGGUGUAAUAGCAGCAACAACACCAACACAAGAAACGCAAUGUUGUGGACUUUAGCCAAAUUAAUUGACAAAGAACAUAAUUCAACGAAUUACAACAAAAACCAAAACCAAGCGAAACAAAAACAACAACCAACACAGAUUCCCCAAAAUAGUAGCAUAACGGAAUAUCAUAGAGAAAAAGCAAAUUAGCAAAAAAUAAACUGAAAAAAAAACUAAUCUCACCUUGGACUGUGAUGAGCAGCAAACGGUUGACACAAUAAAAACCGACAACAACGCCUGCACCACAAACAUAAAUUAAAUAGAAUAGGCAGCACUGUCGAGCAGUCAGCGUCACAGCACAGCGUACGAAGACAGCCAGAUGGCAAAAGCGAGCACAAUAAAUGCAACACAGCAACUUGUAGAGGCAAACCGCGGUUUUCUAACCAAACUACAUACACACACACACGUAUUAUAUAUAAAUAGAAUUUCGUUAAUAAUAAAUAAUUAGACUUCAAGGAUGAUAGAAGGCACUUCGGCGUAGCGGAAGAAACUAGACGAAAACUGCAAAAGCUUUAAAAUAUUAGUAAAUAACAAAAACCAAUACAUGCAUAUUUAAAUUAUUACUCAAAUUAAUUAAUUAAUAAUUGAAAAAAAGUAAAUAAUAACAUUUAAAAACUCUACAAAAAUAACUACAAAACAUCAUUAAAAAAAAUAAUAUAAAAUCAUAAAAAUUCAAACUGCACUCGCUCAUUUCCAAAUACAACACGCAUAACGGCAAAAAGCAGUAGUAAAAACAAAAAUUAAAAUAACUACAAAAAACAACAACAAAUAUAAAAACAACUCUUAGCAUAUAUUCAUCAACGCAAGUACAUAGGCCAGUAAAAAACGUCAUUUGUCGCAACAACAACAACAACUACUACUACUGCUACAACAAACUACAUACUACUUUUAAUGUACAUAAGUAGCUACAUACAAGUAUGUAUGGUAACACUAAACAAAGUAUAAAUUAAUCAAAUCGAAUUAGCGGGACAGCGGAUAUUGUAAACUAAAUCAACGAAAUUAUUUCUAUAUGAAUUUUUUUCACAUUUCAAAGCCUUAUUGAACUUUAAGCUUUAAGCUAUAUUAGAAGCUCUCAACAACUCACGUUUCGCCAUUGUUAAGCGAACCUAGCGAGUUUUGUAUACGGUCCUUACGCUACGCAACGGUACAACGGUACACAUAGCAAGCAAACAAGCGUACAUACAUACAUACAUACAUACAUAUACACAUAUAUUGAUAGUUGAUUGCCAAACGGCGUAGUAGUUAGGAAAAAUGGAUGAUAUGCCAGAUUUGUCGCACCUAACGCCACAUGAGCGUAUGCAAAUCGAAAAUGUACUCAUGCGUCAAAAGCAGGAGGAGGAGGCGCACAAUGAGAUAAUGCGCCGCAAACAGGAUGAGGUCGUCUCAUUAGAAAUGCAAAUACGCCAACGCUCCGAGGAGCAGAAGAAAUCUGGCAUCGAAUUGGGUGCAAUCUGCCACAUUUGCCUUCAAACGAAAUUCGCUGAUGGAAUUGGACAUAUUUGCCAUUAUUGCAACAUCGUGUGUUGUGCGCGUUGUGGCGGAAAAGUGACACUGCGCAGCAACAAGGUAAUAUGGGUCUGUAUACUCUGUCGCAAAAAGCAGGAACUGCUUUCAAAGACUGGACAAUGGAUGAAUAAGGGACAGCAGCAGGAUAGUUUCCUGCGACGCAUCGAGCCCGAUGGCAGUAGUGAUAUCUCGCAGCAGGCCAUUGUCGAUCCACACGACACACUGGACAAGCGCCCAAAACUGGAGCGAACGCGCAGCGCGGCCGAAAAAGAGAAUCUACCAAUGCAACGAACGGGAAGCGUGUUGCGCCGGCAAUAUUCGCAGCAAGAGACGCCCACAAAUCGGCGCAUGUCUGCCUCCGACAGCGGCGCAGAUGUGAGUCCCGGACAACAGCGUCAACGGCCCAUGCACCAGCAGCAGCAGCAGACGCAACAACAGUAUGGCACGCAAGGUGGACAGCAGCAGGCGAGUGGCGGACAGCGGCCAUUUCCUGACGACGAUCCACGCUAUUAUCAGGGUGAACUGGACGGUCUGAUGCGGCAACAUCCACACCUGGCGCAUCCAAGCCAGUUACAAAAGCAGCAGCAGCAACAACAAGGCUAUCACCAGCAGCAGUUGCAGCAGCCGCCCCUGCAGCAGCAACAACAACCACAUGCACAGCAUGCGCAGUAUCAACAUCAGCAACAACAACAACAACAACAACACCAGCAGCAGCAGCAACAACACAAAUACCAGCAGCCAACAGUGUCACAGCAGCAGGCGCAACAACGCAAUUUACCACCACACCACCAGCAGCAUCUGCCGUCUCAACAGCAACAGCUCUCACAGCAGCAACAAGCGCUGCGCUCGCAUAUGCAGCCUGGAUCCGCACAGGUGUCGGGUGGCAUGACGCAACAACAACAUCAGCAGCAACAGCUGCGCCAGCAACAGCAACUGCAACAACAACAACAGCCACUGCAACAACAAAGACUUCCACAUCAACACUCAUACAGUCCACAAACGGCACAACUGCCCACGCCACCGUUUAGCGGCGGCCCAAGCGGCGCACCGUACCAGAAACCGGCGCCACUGUCGCGCAAUCUCACCAUAAGCGGCGGUCACGCCAUGGAUACGGCCAACUAUCCACAGCAACAACAACAACAGCUUCAGCAACAACAGCAACGACGCCCACUAGUCGGUGCCCAAUACGGUCCACCGCAACAGCGCUCCUUCAGCAGCUCGGAAGAGGAGAUACAAGCUCACAUGCUAGCACCACACUCGGCCGAAUAUAAUUACGACGGCAAUUUACGCGAACCUUGGAGGCAACAGCGCAGUCUCAAUGAACGCGAUCUCUUGAGUGUGACGAACUCUUAUGGCGCUAACGACUAUCGUUUGACCACCACAAAUCGUCUGUACUCUUCAGCCGAUCGCGAUCGCUACGAUUUGCAUCGCGAACGACUCGAACGGUAUCCACUAACACGCACCGCACGACUGGAUGUGCAGCAGCAGAACAUCUACAAUCGCACGAAUCACGAUCGACAGCCGGUGAACGCCAACAGUGGAGCAUACACGGCGCGUCGUGCGCCAACUUUAGCCACGGCUACGGCAACUACAGGUGGCGGUGGUAGCAGUAGCAGCAGCAGUGCCGGUAGCUACCACCACCAGAAACAGUCUCAGCAACAUCACCAUUCCAAUCCACAAAUUGUAAUCGAUGAUAAGCCACUACCUACAAGCGCUUAUGAACGCUACGGCAUCACAGUUGGCGGUGGUUCGCGCGGCGAAGAGGGUAGUGCGCGUCGCAUCGGCGCAGCGGCAACACGUAGCCUCGGGCGCGAUCGUUCACUAAUGGCAGACCCCUAUUGGGAUGAGACAGUUAUGUCGACAAAUGCGGCACAGGACUCGCGACGUUAUACGGAGCGUAGAAUAAAGAAAACGGUACGAUUUGAUGGGCAUGAUGAGCCGCUGUUAAGCACCGCUACAACAAAAUCCGGUUCAUUGCCGCCAGUAACGCAAAUCUUACCAUCAACGGCUGUGGACGUAGGCGCCGCCACUAUACUGACCAGCGCUAAAUUGGGCGCAAACGCAAACACUGCCAAUACGAUUAGCAUUUCGGAUGCGGCUGCCGAUUGGGCACGCUGGGACGCUGAACGGCAGGGUAGUCAGGAUUCGGCAACUAAGGAUUCUGGCAUCGAUACGUGCAGUACAUUCACGAGUAGCGAAGACUCAAAUCGUGGCGAUGGGCCAAAGCAACCGGUGAAUUGGCAAAUAUCCACGGAUAAUACACGCCUAAUUGGUCGUAUGAUAUUGCGAAAGUACUAUGAUGGUGAGGAUAUUCUCGGCUUGAAAGUUGUGGGCGGUCAACGGCCAACAGCAGCAGCGGACGCGCACAAUAAGUCAGCCGAUUGCGGUGCGUUCGUUGAAAAGGUGAAGCGCGGUUCGGUAGCCGAUGUUGAAGGACAUAUACGACCAGGCGACGAAAUCAUCGAAUGGAACGGUCGAGUGCUGCGUAAUAAGUGUGCGGACGAGGUUUAUCAGAUAAUUGACGAAAGUCGCUUAGACGCGCAGGUCGAAUUGGUCGUUUCGCGAACUCUACCCGCCAACGCCGGCGAAAACAAUGCCAAACGUAAAGUAGGCGGCCAGCAGCAACAAGGUGUGACGGUGCAAAAUCAAUGUCUCGCGAACACCAUUGCCAGUAGUGCUGUGGUCAGCAGUGGCGGACGCUAUUACACACGAAAAGCGCCCGCUGCGGCAAUCGAACAUCAUCGCGACAAGCCGAGCGUACUAAUCACAUCGCCCGGUUCGCCCGAUUUACACGCCACUAGCGGCGGUGCGCACACAUUGCGGCAGACGAAUGUGCAACAACGUGGCUACAGCGGCGACGCCGGUACGUAUCAGCAACACCCAACGCAUCCACAACCGAAGCAGCAAUCGCAAAAUCCGCAACAACAACCACCAGCACAACAACGGCACGGAGCGAACGUCGCGAACACAGCCAGUGCAACAGCAGUCGGUACUACAGCUACAACGACGACGGCGGGCCACCAUCAUCACUACCACCAGCCACCACCGCCAUCGCAUACGCAUCCGCAUGUCGCCGCCCACCACUUGCCCACAGUGGGUGUGGCGCAUGUGCUGUCCAUGGCCGUCGAAGGCCGCCUGCAGAUGAAACUCGGCUACGAUCAGAAUACCCUGCAGCUGAUAGUUACUAUCGUCUGUGCGACGGGCCUAACGCUGCGUCAGAGCGGCGCCGCUCGCAAUCCUUAUGCAAAAGUGUUCCUUCUACCCGAUCGGGGUACAAAAUCGAAAAGACGCACCAAAACUGUAGCGACCACAUGCGAACCGCGCUGGGGCCAAACGUUCGUUUACACAGGCUUAAGGCGUUCCGAUCUCACCGGUCGUUUACUCGAAGUGACGCUGUGGGAUUAUGUGCGCUAUGGAGCCAAUGACUUUAUCGGCGAAGUGGUCAUUGAUUUGGCGCAUCACGUGCUCGACGACGAAGCGGAAUGGUAUCAGCUGCAGCCCCACCAGGACACUUCGUAUCUCUUGCAUCACGACGACCAAAGUGAAGCGGACAUUAUGAUUUUGACACCGACAGAUCAUUUAUCACCACCCAGCACAAUGUCACGUCUUAGCGACUCCGAUGCGACGUCUGAAUGUGACAUCGAUGGACUGACGCCGGGGCGUGAUGGGGCAAGCAUAUCCUCACUGGGCAGCUCAUCAAGUCCACCACCAGAGAUCGAUUUGAAUGAGCGUCGCUCAAGACGCGAUAUGUCGCCGCAAGGUCGCAAGCGUGUAGCUGGUAUGGUAUCGCGUGAUUAUCGUACGGUAUCUGGCAUUGGACAAAGUUACCACAAUCAGCAGGUGAACACUGGUUACUUGCGUCGCAAUGGCGCCAUCACUGGUCCCAGUGGCAUGAGCCUCAGCCAGCGCAGUCAUUCCGCCGCACCGACCGACAGCUAUCACGGUGUGACCGGCAGCGGUCACAGUUAUUAUCGCAGCAGCAGCCCGCGACGCGGUUCACUCUCGCCGCCCGACGAUCGCUACAUAGACUAUCCAGUGCUUCCAAUACACGCAACAGGCGGCUCAGCAUACGGGCAUUCACUGUCGGGUGGUGCGAGUUCGUUAAGUGCCACCGCCGGUGGUAUUCCCUUGGGUGGCGUAGGCGGUGCUGCAAUCGGCCCCACUGGUACAGCGCAACAAGGACGCUUCCAGUCGCGUUCCGCUACAGCCACACCGACGGGUUCGCCUAAAAAGCGGCAGCUGCCACAGGUGCCGCAAACUUCACGCAGCGCCAUGUUACGCGAUCGCUUGGGUCAAGAGUUCGAUGAACGCCCGGGUGGCGGUCGCUUCGGUCGUCAUCGCACGCGUCAAAUUCAUCAUCAGGCCACUUACCGCAGCACCGGCAUGGGUGGCUGGGAGCGCCACUACACCGGCCUCUCGGACAGCGAUCUACAAUCGAUGGAGGCGCGGACACGACCGCGACACUCGCUAUCACCCGAUAAGGACUUCAUGGGUGAAUUUGGCGAUUCUGAUAUGGAGUCGGUGGUGAGCGUGACAUCGAGCGCUUUCUCUACUCAAUCGGAACGGCCGCGUGGCUCACGUGGACUGAGUUUGCCACGCAAUUGGCGCACCUUGUACGGCGCCGACCCAAUGCCCGGCAGUGUCCCCACCACCACGCUUGCCGGUCACCAUGCACACGCUCGGGGACGCGGAUUCUUUGAGCGCUACCGCGCCAAUACGAUCGAGGUCGAUGAUUGUGAUUUUUUAUCAACCAGCUUAACGGGCGCGCCAUCACUGUACGGUAUGGGGCAGUCGCCGCCACACCUCAAUACAGCGUCACAACAGAUGUUGUUGCUGGAGCAGUUAGAGCAGCUGCAACAGCUAGCCGAACUAGCAGCUGCUGAUUCACCGCCGAACACGGCUACUUUGGUGGCGGCAUCCAAUCCACACAAUAUCCUCAGUACAACCGCAACAAAUCACCUAUUACCACCACACCGACAAUUGCAACCGCAACAACUGCAACAAUUACAACAGCUACAUGAACCAACACAACUGCCAAGCCAACUCGUCAUGACCGGCAAUAGCGGCAAUUUAGUAGUGGAUCCGUAUAUGCUUGAUGGAAGCACUGAGCCGGGUCUGUUGUUAAUGGAGCCGGCGGGCGUAACGGUGAUACCGCCUACACCACCAUCCACAUUACCGCCGCCGCUGCCGCCGCCAGCGCACACUGUCAGCACACAAUUGCAACAGCAGCAACAACAACAACAGCCAUCACUUUCACAUCCACAGCCACAUCCCCAUAUAUUUCAUCCACAUCAAUACUUACCUCACAUACCGGAUUCCAUACAUUUCCCAGAGUUUCUAACUCAUGCUGCCGAUUUCAGUCCUUUCGCCGAAAAGUUAUUUCCACGUGAUAGCUCCUUAGGGUCCAGUAGCCAUUACCCAUUCUACGAUCAUUUACAACGUAUCACCACGCCCGUAGUGAAUCUAUUUCGUCAUAGCCCAAGCUCUACACUAAGUACACCGACUGCUGCUGCAGUCAAUUCUCCGCAUCAGCACGCCCAUUCCGUAUCAUCAUCGCCCUCAUCGUACAUUGCCUAUGUGCGCGAUCAUUAUGACAAUACAUGCAGUCACUGCCAAAACGGCAGCCAGCCGGUCGUACUGUCGACAAAUGCUGCACUCACCACACCCGGCAUAGCCAUAGGCGCUUGCGACAAUCCAUUUUGCAUUGCUGAAUCCCAUCCACAUCCACAGCAUCAUCCGGUCGCCUAUCCUUAUACAGCCGAACAACUGCUACGUAGACCGUCAUUGUCCAUGUAUCAGCCAUCGUCAGAGCCUUCACUGCCAACUAUGGAUCCGGCAAUAUGCGGCGAAUGUGUGGAUCAGCAUUUCGUGAGCGGUCUUACCGCACCACAAAUUGACUUGGGCGCUGUGCCCACCUAUCACGUACAUACCCCAACGCCAACGGCGCACAAAAAGGCCAAGUCCUCACUGGCACCGCCUCCUCAACUGCCCACACAAUCGGUUUUGCGCCUGUCGCGCCAAUUAAGCGAAGAUGCACUUGUAACGGCUAUACCAAUUGCCGAAUCGAAAGCGCAGCCUACUUCAAUAUUGAAAAAACCGAAAGUUGGCGUACCAACGGGCACAUUAGAUCGGCGAAAAAUGUUUCAUGAGGGCCAAUCACGUUCACUAGAUUACGAUGAUUUGCACGCGAAGAGUUGGGGCCGUCGUCGCAUAAGAUACGAAGACGAGAUAUAUAAUCCGCCACUGGAGGAGCUAUCUCGUCGUUACGGUUCCGAGACAAAUAUACGACAAUCUUAUAUGGGUGCCAAUGUUGAUGCAGUCAAUCCGCUUAGUCACUCACACUUUCUUGUCACUGACGACAAGAUCGUCACUAUUACCUAUGACUCGGAUGUGGGUUGGACGCGGCGCGGUGUUGCACCGUCUGUAUUUCACGAUCCGCGACGUCGCUUCGAUGGCCGCGAACGUAAUCAUAUGUCUCUAAACUUACAACGCACCAAUCAGGAAAAGCUUUACGGAGCUGCACUGCCAUACCAAAAGCGACGUCGCAAUCUGCCGCAUCCACCAAGCGCACAAAACGCCCACAAUUUCUCACCCGUUGAGGGUUACGAUGACGACCCCAUGUUAAUGGAACCCACCACACAUUCGUCAGCUACGCUGCCACCACAUAGUGGCGAACCAACAUCCAUGAACGGUACAGGCUCCGCCGAACGACCGGGACCAAUUGGCGAACAUCGCGAUCAACGUGAUCCACGCGAUGAACGCGAUCCGCGUGAUCUCAGUCGUUCAGUAGGGCCAGGCUCGUCACCUAGUCAACAACAACGUCAUCCUUCAUCAAUUAUCUCCAAACGCAGUAAAUCAUCAAUGGCCACCGCUGGUGGUCAUCGUACACGUGUAGAACAGUUACAGCAUGAAUCGGGCAGUGAUCGCAGUAAUCUCGUUAGUAUCAAUGACCAACCCGAAUAUUUCGAAUACGAUGAUUACGGUGAUCCCUAUAUAGACUCGCACACUAGUCGUAAUUAUGCAACAACAACAACAAAUGCAAGUAGUAAUAGUUUUGUUAGUAGUGGUGGUAGUGUUAGGCAAAAAGGGAAAGAAGUUUCAUACGGCGCGGAACAACAGACGAAAUCUAGUAGUGGGAGUGGUAGUGGUGGUGGUGCUUCUUCUACUGCUGCUGCUGGUAAUAUCGUCGUCGGUGGUAAUAUUUCUAAUAAUGCUUCUUCUUCCUCUUUUGCAAAUUCCCAUCAUGGUGUCGCUAACUCCACAUCACCUAAACGUGCCUCAUUGAAACAUACAAAUACAACUAACGACGCAAACCUAAACGUAAACGUUGACGGAACAACAACAACAACAACUACAACUCCCAUACAAACAACAACUACAUCCACAAACAUCACAACCACAUCAUCGUCGAAUACAACAACAACAACUAAUGCGAUGGCAACAACAAAUUCAACCUUAACAACCUCAACAACAAAUCCUGCUGCCGCAACAACAACAACGAAUACUGGUGAUACAACAACUGCGUCUGGCGAUGCCGCUGCCACGGAUGAUGCCGAUGCGCCGCUUGACGUCAUCGAUUGGGAUGCCAUCGACGCUAUGCUGGACGAUGACUUCAGUGAAUACGACAAAGACAAAAACGGUGGUGGUGAGGAGAAGAAGGACGAUGCCAACUUUAGUCAGAGUGUUGAUGAGAAAGUUGAUGGCAGCUUAUCUGAUACAGCAACAGAUCGCAAAAAGGGCGGCGUUGAGCAAGAGCGCUCCCCCAAAGGCGGCAGCGGUAUGGGUAAAAAAUCCAACUCCACCUCGCAAUUAUCGGCUACAGACCAAUAUACGGCUUCAUAUAAUGCAGCAGCCGCUUCCAAUGCAUCUCAUCAUCAUCAUCAUCUUCGCCAAUCGCGCGGUUCUGCCGGCAGCAUACAACGCUCUGUGGAGGUGCCGCCCGCAGCAUCGGCCACGCAAUACCGCACCGGAAGCAUACAUUCCAUAUCCACCUCUGAGGGCUCAUCAUUUUCACCAUCGCUGCGUGGCAACGAUGGUCAGCUGUCAGAGUUUAUAGACGGUUUGGGGCCCGGUCAACUGGUUGGGCGGCAAGUGUUGGGCGCACCAUCGCUGGGUGAUAUACAGUUAUCAAUGUGCCAUCAAAAGGGUUUCUUAGAAGUAGAAGUUAUACGUGCUAGAGGCUUACAGCAAAAGCCAACGUCGAAAAUGCUUCCCGCUCCUUAUGUUAAAGUAUACUUGGUUUCUGGCAAACGUUGCAUUGACAAGAUGAAAACUUCGACGGCAAGGCGCACAUUGGAUCCGCUCUAUCAACAACAAUUGGUAUUCAAGCAGCCAUACCAGGGAUGCAUUCUGCAGGUGACCGUUUGGGGUGACUAUGGCCGCAUCGAGAAGAAAGUUUUCAUGGGUGUGGCACAGAUAAUGCUUGACGAUUUAAACUUAUCGAACAUCGUCAUCGGCUGGUACAAACUCUUUGGAACAACCUCACUGGUCAGUUGUCCCACUAAUUUAGGUCUAUCUAGGCGCUCAUCAAUUGCAUCACUUGACUCACUCAAACUAUAGAGCACACAAGCUUUCUAGCAAAAUAAAAUAUACAAAACAAACUCAAGUAGAAAAAUUGGCUUAUACAAAGAAGUUGGUCUAUUUUCCAAAAUUUCUUUCAACACCGUUGCAAAUUUCAAACAAAAACACUCUGCAAUGACAAUUAUUUUACAAAAUUGGACUCAUAAUUGGAUUUGAAAUUGCUAACGAAUACACGCAACUCAAGAACUACUCAUACAAAAUAUAUUGUUUUUGUAGCUUAGGCGUCGGCACAAUGCAGCGCAAAAUUAAAAAUUAACAGUAAAUUAGUAAUUGCAAUUGUUGAUACUGCAAACUCUAUACUUGAACAUUUCACUUGACUUAUUUCAAUAUGCUUACUCUAAACAUUAUUUGUACUUAAUUACUUACUUAUAUAACCUCUUUCAAAUGCUUCGUUAUUGCUUGUGUCCACAUAUUUAGUACUCGUUCUCUACGCUCGAGCUACAAGUAGAAACAGAAAAAACCAAUUAAGCAACAACACUUAUGGGAUUCACUAUAUUCUAUAUAUACAUACACACUUCCUUAUAUACGAGCGUAUAGCAUACACGACAUGUAUAUACACUGCACAACAAGCACUCAAAUACUCAAAUAACUAUAUCCAAUAUAUGCAUAAACAACAACAAUACUAAGACUACUUAAAUCAUUAAAUAAACCUUAAAACCAAAAAACAAAAAAAACAAAUAAUAAAAAAUGUAAUCCGCAACAAUAAAUUCGUAAUGUAAACUUAUAAUGGAAAAUAUAGUUAAAAUGUGCAAAAUUACCGUAGAGUUCACACUCGUUCAGUAGACAUUUCACCGAUCGUUUUAGUGGUUUGGCAUUGAAUCGCUCAACGUAGUUUCUAGUAACCCCUGCAUCGAGCUGCUUCCACAGCAGCGGCGCGAACCUAAAUCGCUGGCUUAGCUGGGAAACGAAUGCAAGAAAGAGAGUUUAUAGCCAAAUACCGAACGAGCCAACACGUUACGCGUCGGAUAAAGUGGGUGUGCAAGCACGACCUACACGUGGGCGCAUAAUGGCGCUCGUGGUUUUGACGUCGAAAGCAGCUCAACAGCAACUUUUUGAAUUUAAACGAAGUAGGAAAGCACACAACUAACAAAAAAAAAAACAAAAAGAAAACAAAGAAUCAAGAAGAAAACAAAAUAAAUUGCAUAUAAAUAUAUUUAGAAUAUUUUUAAAUUAUGUUUUUCUAAGCUAAAUAUUACGAUAAAUAUGAUAAUGAUUAUAACGUUGAAGAUAAAUAUAAAGCUAAAAACAGGACUAUGGAGCGUGUGUAGUUGAAGUUGGGCGCGUAGUUUAAAGAUACGACUUGGUGAUUUAUAUAAUAGUGAUCAUAGUUGUAGUGCUGACAAUGACGUUGUUUAAGUAAUGAGAACAGAUACAAGAUGCAUUUAAUACUACAAACUUGUAAAAUAUUACAUACACACAUACAUACACACACAUAUAUAUAUACACGUAUAUAUAUACACGUAUAUAUAUGUACAUAUAUACAUAUAUAUAAAGAGCAAAGCAAGUGAGUAAAAAAAGGAUUUAUUAUUAAUACAUAAAUUUAAAGAGCUAAAAUAUUGAAAAUUGGUGCAGUUUUGACGGCAUUAUUUAUUACGUCUUAUUCUUGUAAUCAUAAGUGAAAGAAUAUGUAAAACUAUUGUUCGAAAAUAUGCAAAUAAAAUCAUAAUAUAUUCAUAUAAAAACAGCAGCUAAAACACAAAGAGAAAAACUCAACUUAAUUGGCUAUUAAUUUCAACCAAAAAAAAUAAAGAAAAAUCAAAUAAAAACAAAAAAUACUAACGAACAAGAAUUUUACCAUAAAUAUUUAUGAAAAUAAAGUAAAUCGGUGAACACUCAGUUAGAAAAAAAUUCAUAUAUUUCUAAGAACAAAUUUGUGCUGUACUAUAUUGAUGUGGAAAAGGAAGAAAAUCGAUAAAUUAUAUAUUUGUAAAUAUGUAUUAACUGAGCGGUUAUCACUAUAUUAAAAAAACUACAUACAAAUACACACAAACACGCGUAUACUAAUUAAAUCUACAAAAACAAGGAAAAACAGAAAUUGAAUUUUGGCAUGAAUUAUUUAAAUUAUUAUUUAUAUAGUAAUAAUAAAAUAAAAAUCCAUAAUAAUUUUCUACUCAAACUACAGACUAACACGCAUGGCAUAAAGCGCAGAAAACUUUGCUUGCAUACACAUAUUUGGCAAAGCUUUAUGAAUUAAUACAAACCUGCCUCUUUCUACAUUAAACUAACUUUUAGUGAUGUUUUUAGUGACUAAAACCGACGACCCAAACAGUGCAGCAGCAAAACUCCAUUGACUCACUUCUUCUUCUUUACUGGCGUAAAGACAUUGACUCAUAGUGUUGCAAAAAUCAAAUUUACGCUAAAAUUUAUAUUAUUGUUGCACACGUUUUAGGAACAAGUGCGCUUCAAGCAGUGUGCUGCAAACAAUUUUUCAGUAAUUCAAUGUGUUUUUGCUGCGGCACUCAUUACAGCGUAAGCCUAAUAAAAAAGUAUUAAAAAAUAUUGAAAACUCGUCGGUCGCAGUUCAAAAAUCUUGUCCAAAGUAUGGACGGAAUAUUGUUUUAACUUCGUUGACUGUGAGGAGAUUAAUUGAGAUAGCGGCAAAUUUAAGUCUUGUGUUAAUUUUGGAACACGCUGUACGUACAUACUAUGUAAGCAAAGAGAUUGUUUGGUGCCACCGAACUUUUGUCGACUCCAUCAUCAUCAGCUAUAUUUAUUUAAAUUAUGUCGCAUCCUAUACAUGACAGUUCCAGGACAAAAAAUUUCCAAAUUGUUUUCCUAAAAAAUUUAAGAGGUUACAUGGGUUUCCUCGGUUAAAAAAAGACUUUUUUCAACACUUUUUUCUCUCAUAAAAAAAAUGAAAUAUUUUAUAAGGAUUUUUUAUUGUUACAAACAUACACUAUUAACAAAGAAAUUCUGAAAAUUUUCAGAAGAAAAUAUUUUAAAGUCGGCCAUUGCUGCGACAUAUCCGGUGAUCCCGCGAAAAAAAGAUGCUCCCGCAUUUGCAGGAUAACUUCUUACAGGAUCAUCUAAGGUGAAAAAUACAUGCUUUUGUUAAAACCUUAACUUAGAACUUGGACGAAGGAAAAAAAUACUUGAGUAUUUGAUUUUUGCUAGACAUUUUUAGAAAAAAAUUAAAGAUUCAGUGAAGUUUCGAUACAUUUUUUUUUUUUUUUUUCAAUAGUUGUAAAAAAAUCCGUCGGCCAAGUCUUUAGAAAUUGAAUCUCAAAGUCAUGUGUAAAAUUUCAUGAAGAUUGGUGGAGUAGUUCCCACAAAAUCUGUUCAACCGACUUCAAAAGCACAGUUUUGAGAAAAACGCGUUUAAAGGCGACCACUUAGCCUAGCUAGCCUCGAGCGCAUAAGUUCUAAAGGCUGUAUAUCUGAAACUAUUUCUCGAAUGAACUUGAAAAUUAAGGACAAUAUUCUAGAGAUGUUGUAGAAUUUAAUAAGAUAAUACAUUUUUUGAAACCCGUAAACCAUGUAACCCCUUAAGUACAGCGUGUCAAAAAUGGCACUUAUCUUUUAUUUUAAGCCAAUUCAACUGUGGUAAAGUUAAAAGAAGGGAAAUGUUGAGAUAAAUUUUCUUGUUCCCUAUUAGUUACAAGAUUUCGGAACGGGAAACUAUUUCGGAAGUAAGAUCAUUAAUACCUCACCGUAGCGCCGCCUGUAGUAUAUAGUAUUUCUGCUGAAUUGUCUACAGAGUCUAUGACAUAUUUUAAUUUUUCCUUCCUUUAAUCAUACAUUUACAGCUUAUACUUUCUCCGACAAAUAUACACACACAUACACACAUGCAUAUAACUACACAACUAAUAUAUAUAAAUGUAUAUACUAAAUGCAUACAAAAAAUGUUAGCAAAAUUUUGUAAUCACACAAAAAUUAAAUAGCUUUUUUUAAUAAUACUUAUAAUAAAGAGUAUUUAACAGAAGAGAAAACAAUAAAAAAUACAUUUAAUAAAAAUCAAAGUACCUUCUAAUAGAAUGAGCUGUAAAAACGAUACCUGCUUGCAACUAAAAAUCGAAAAGAAAACAAAAAAAUGCAUCGCACAUAUACAUCAUACAUGCAUAUACAUACAUACAUAUAUUCUUAAUUUUCUUUUUGAAUUUUUCAUCAUGUAAACCAAAAUACUGCUUUGAAAGCUUGAAACCGAUUGCAAUUUAGCGAAAAAUGUAGGCACAGCAAACGAUCAAAUUAGAAAUAUUGCUUUCAUUGGCUUUUAGUACUGUUAUUUCAGGCAUUCAUUCAUAAAUAUUAAACAAAAAAAAUUAUAAAAACAUUGACAAACAAAUAGCAUUUUCUCGAUCCUUACAUAAAAGCACACAAGAGAAUUCCUUCAAAUCAUGCUUAGAGUAUUCACAAAACAGCGAAAUGGCUUAGAAACCGUAUUCAACUCUUUAUAAAACACCAAAAACAUUUUGAUUUCAACUGCUCAUUCACUAUAACAUACAUUUUUUGGUAUUUUUUAUUACGGCCUAGUACUUCCAGCUCCCUAGAGUAACAUGCACAGAGAACACUUAAAACUUUCGACUUUCUCUCAUAUACAUUUGAAAGUACACUUUCGGCCAUUGGAUUUUUAAGUCGAAUACCUAACGAAAAAGUCUGCUUCACAAAUCUCUUAAUGAAGUUUUUCCUACGCUGAGCCUUCAUAACCUCAAUCACAUGCCAAGAAAACCGUCGAGUUUUUGAUUCGCCAAGGGCUAGCACUAAAGCAGCGAAUGUGAUAACCCUACUGGUAUCAAUUGUUAUAAGAGAGCAGCGCCCAAAAAUAUGGCAGGCGGAGAAAGAACGAAUCGAAUAUGGCUUAUAUAUGAACGAACUUAACCAUUUGACAAAACAAAAGUUCGGUUCUUGUUUCUAGAGAAUUUAUUCUUUCGCUCUUCAACGUCGCACUUAAAACGCAAUGGCAAAACUCCGAGCAUAUUUCUCUCAAUAAAAUGCUCCACAUAAAAUUUAACAACAGUUUGGAGGCGCUUGAAAGCUUUUUGCUCUCUAAAUUUGGCGAAUAAAUUCAAGCCACAUUCAACAUAAGCUUUAAGCUUUGUCCAGCAUAUGAGAAUAGAUAAACAUAUAGCAUAGAAGAGUUCUUCAGUAAAGGCGUAAUUAAAUAGUUUUGUUCAACAUUCAACGCAAAAAGUGUAUGAUUCUCUCACUAGCCUGUAUUCUUCUUAGAAACUUACGCUUUUUAGUACAAAAAUAUAUAAAUAUUUGAAUCUUCUUCUCCACCAAAAUUAAAAUAAUUAACUGAAAACAGUAUUUAUUUCUCAAAUAAAAUCAAACAACUUUAUUUGGUGUAAAUCAACUGCAACAAAAAGGUUUUCUGACAAAAAACGAACGCACAAAUGGAAAGUGAAAUGAGUUUUGGAAAUUUUGUAAGUCCACCGUGUAGACGUUUAGUAGCGUAGUAAACUUAAAUAAGGAUAAAAGAGGUGAAACGAUUCACAACAACUAGCACACAUCCAUUAUUUAAAAACACAUACACGCAUGCACAUUUUGCUUUUCAACAUUUCUCCGUCCAUUCAUUGCAUACUCAAAGGAGAAAUUGUAAACUCGACAAAAAUUUUCAUAAGCACAAAACAUGAGCCAUCCAUUGAAAGCAUCCUACUUACAGACACUGUGUGCAAAAAGUAUGUCUACAUAAACUGCAUACAGUUAUGUAGUUAUGUUUGUACGAGAAUUCAACAAAUAUAUAUACAUAUAUAAACACAUACAAACUUACUUGCAUACGCCCCAAAAUAGCACACAUACAUACAUAUAUUUAUACUGCAUAAGCAAUGUGAAAUAUUCACCGUUGCUAUGCAUGCAAAUACGUAACAUACAUAGCAUGCUAGCAAUAUUGAUGGCCAAUGAAAAUAAAAAUAAUUAAAUAUAGAUAUAGCGCGCUUUAUUUUACAUACAUACAUACAAACAUGUUGACAUCCUCUGCAGCAUUAAGUAAUUUGUCAUAAAAAUAUUAAAAUUUAUAAAAAUCACCAAAUGAAAUAUUUACCCAACUACAUAGUACAUAGAAAUGUUUCACAAGUUUAUACAACCGUUAACUUUUUCUAGUUCUUCAUACUCAAAUACCCACGUACAUACAUAUUUGUGUGUCAGGUAAUUUUUCUAAUAGAAUUUCGAUAAGAAAAUUGAUUAAAAAGAUAUAUCGGAAGAUAUAAAAAAUGCAUAGAAAAUAGCUUAUCAUUUUUUUAUCAUAAAAAUACAUACAUAAGUACAUACUGGUUUGCAUAUUCAAUAGUUUCUAUGUAAUUUUAUAAAAAAAAUUUAAUUAACAAAAUCCAUUUUUCAAGUGAAAAUAUUUUUUUAGUUAGCAAAAUUAAUUUACAGCAUUUUUCAACUGAAAAUAUUUAUCAAAAUUAUUUUUCCUCAAAAUCUACACCAACAUUUGAAUAUUUAAAGGAAAUGCAAAAAAAAAAUAUAUUUUAAUUUUUAUAUUUAAGCCAACAUACAAACUGGCAUAUACUAAGUAAUCGUACAUAAAGCAGAUACAUAUUUUCACUGUUUGUAUGCAAUACAUAUGUA